RNAcentral lists this ribosomal RNA (444 nucleotides) under uncultured bacterium. RNAcentral's name for it is "SSU rRNA". It matches the Rfam family "Bacterial small subunit ribosomal RNA", at positions 26 to 518 of the family's 1533-position model. The record is from RNAcentral.
AGAGCGAACGCUGGCGGCAGGCCUAAUACAUGCAAGUCGAACGGAUCCUUCGGGAUUAGUGGCGGACGGGUGAGUAACACGUGGGAACGUGCCCUUUGGUUCGGAACAACUCAGGGAAACUUGAGCUAAUACCGAAUGUGCCCUUCGGGGGAAAGAUUUAUCGCCAUUGGAGCGGCCCGCGUCUGAUUAGCUAGUUGGUGGGGUAAAGGCCCACCAAGGCGACGAUCAGUAGCUGGUCUGAGAGGAUGAUCAGCCACACUGGGACUGAGACACGGCCCAGACUCCUACGGGAGGCAGCAGUAGGGAAUCUGCGCAAUGGGCGAAAGCCUGACGCAGCCAUGCCGCGUGAAUGAUGAAGGUCUUAGGAUUGUAAAAUUCUUUCAGCGGGGACGAUAAUGACGGUACCCGCAGAAGAAGCCCGGCUAACUUCGCGCCAGCAGCCGC